GACGAACGCUGGCGGCGUGCCUAAUACAUGCAAGUCGAACGCUUUUUCUUUCACCGGAGCUUGCUCCACCGAAAGAAAAAGAGUGGCGAACGGGUGAGUAACACGUGGGUAACCUGCCCAUCAGAAGGGGAUAACACUUGGAAACAGGUGCUAAUACCGUAUAACACUAUUUUCCGCAUGGAAGAAAGUUGAAAGGCGCUUUUGCGUCACUGAUGGAUGGACCCGGGGUGCAUUAGCUAGUUGGUGAGGUAACGGCUCACCAAGGCAACGAUGCAUAGCCGACCUGAGAGGGUGAUCGGCCACACUGGGACUGAGACACGGCCCAGACUCCUACGGGAGGUAGCAGUAGGGAAUCUUCGGCAAUGGACGAAAGUCUGACCGAGCAACGCCGCGUGAGUGAAGAAGGUUUUCGGAUCGUAAAACUCUGUUGUUAGAGAAGAACAAGGAUGAGAGUAAAACGUUCAUCCCUUGACGGUAUCUAACCAGAAAGCCACGGCUGACUACGUGCCAGCCGCCGCAGUAA
RNAcentral lists this ribosomal RNA (523 nucleotides) under uncultured bacterium. Its description in RNAcentral is "partial 16S ribosomal RNA". It matches the Rfam family "Bacterial small subunit ribosomal RNA", at positions 28 to 523 of the family's 1533-position model. The record is from RNAcentral.